RNAcentral lists this long non-coding RNA (350 nucleotides) under Capsicum annuum. Its description in RNAcentral is "long non-coding RNA (CANN_LNC014069)". The record is from RNAcentral. Lineage: Eukaryota; Viridiplantae; Streptophyta; Magnoliopsida; Solanales; Solanaceae.
UCCACAAAUCCUUGUUCACAAGGUAUGAUUCUAUAUACGUCUUCAUACCUUGCAAUUGGGUUGAUUCAACAACUCCAUUCCCUGUCCAUUACGUGACCAUUGAAAUCCAUACAGACAAACUAGUUGGAUCUACCACCAACAAUCUUGAAAUAAAACUCCAAAGCCAAUGUGUGGCUAUGACUCUGAUACCAUGUAGAGAUUAGCAGAAGAAAGGUAUAAUUAGAAAAUCUUCUGCUAGCCCAAGAUUGUUAAUUACGAUCGAAAGAUUUAACUUAAGAAGAGAAAACUAUGAAAGAUAUUAGAAAGGAGAACUUGGAAGAAGACUACUUGAAUUGAUUUGUUUUUUGAUU